Molecule: unclassified non-coding RNA, 490 nt
Filed under: uncultured Nostocaceae cyanobacterium
Lineage: Bacteria; Bacillati; Cyanobacteriota; Cyanophyceae; Nostocales; Nostocaceae
Description: partial contains 16S ribosomal RNA and 16S-23S ribosomal RNA intergenic spacer
Rfam family: Bacterial small subunit ribosomal RNA (bases 1-120)
Source: RNAcentral
GCCACGCCCGAAGUCAUUACCCCAACCGAAAGGGGGGGGAUGCCUAAGGUAGGACUGAUGAUUGGGGUGAAGUCGUAACAAGGUAGCCGUACCGGAAGGUGUGGCUGGAUCACCUCCUUUUAGGGAGACCUAAUCCAUUUAGAAAUCGAAAACAAUGAAAAUUGUCAAUAGAAACUAAAUUGGUCUAGCCUAGGUCGUUCGAGAUUGGUAGAUAUCUUUCAAAGUAUUAUUCGGCUUCGUUCAAAACCAUAUAUAAUAAAUGGAAAAAGACAGCACCUAAUUGUCAAAGUUAGACUGCUGGAUGAAAUUCCAGCCAGAACCUUGAAAACUGCAUAAGAGAACGAGAAAAAGCAGGCAGACACAGACAUUUAGAUGGAUGUGAAAGCAAAAGAAAUUGUGGUCAAGCUAAUAAGGGCUAAUGGUGGAUACCUAGGCACACAGAGGGAUACCUAGGCACACAGAGGGAUACCUAGGCACACAGAGGAAGGGC